This 496-nucleotide ribosomal RNA is filed under the name uncultured bacterium. Its description in RNAcentral is "partial 16S ribosomal RNA". It matches the Rfam family "Bacterial small subunit ribosomal RNA", at positions 28 to 506 of the family's 1533-position model. The record is from RNAcentral.
GAUGAACGCUGGCGGCGUGCCUAAUACAUGCAAGUCGAGCGAACAGACGAGGCGCUUGCUCCUCUGACGUUAGCGGCGGACGGGUGAGUAACACGUGUAUAACCUACCUAUAAUACUGGUAUAACUUCGGGAAACCGGCGCUAAUACCGGAUAAUAUCUUGAACCGCAUGGUUCAAUAGUGAAAUACGGUUUUUCUGUCACUUAUAGCUGGAUCCGCGCCGCUUUAGCUAGUUGGUACGGUAACGGCUUACCAAGGCAACGAUGCGUAGCCGACCUGAGAGGGGGAAGGGCCACAGUGGAAGUGAGAGACGGCACAGAGUCUGAGGGAAGGCAGAAGUAGGGAAGCGAGCGAAAUGGGGGAAAGCCUGACGGAGCAGCGGAGGGUGAGUGAAGAAGGGCUGCGGAUGGUAAAACGCUGUUAGGAGGGAAGAACAAAUGUGUAAGUAACGAUGCACGUGUGAACGGAACGGAUAAAGAAGGACACGGCUAAUUAGGU